This is a long non-coding RNA of Helianthus annuus (common sunflower), 1304 nucleotides long. RefSeq lists it as uncharacterized. Lineage: Eukaryota; Viridiplantae; Streptophyta; Magnoliopsida; Asterales; Asteraceae. The record is from RefSeq and is a predicted model, not a curated record. The transcript has 2 exons.
AUAUACAUUAUUCAAUACACCCAAAUUUUGAAAUCAAUUUUCACAGUUCACGACUUCACGCUCGCUCACCAAAUAAACCCUAAAUCAUCGGCCGCCGCGCAUGCUUCACAGUUCACUUCAGUCGCCGGCCGUUCAACCCUUCGACCUUCAUCGCCAGCCCCACUAAACCCUUCACAGUUCACUUCAUCGCUGCUCACCUUCAUCGCUUUCAGUCACCGGUGUCGCUUUCAAGUAGUUCUGGCAGUUACAGAAACACAUAUCAUUUCAGUCACAGUCGCUGCUUUCAACCCUUCACUGCAGAUUAGGGUAUUUCAUUUAAGAUGUUUCUAUUUGAAUAUGUGUUUCUGUUUGAUAAGAAGUGAACUGUUAUUGCUGCAACUUGAAUAGAAAAACAAAUGUUAUUGUUGUUUGAUAAGAAGUGAACUGUGAUGUAUUCACGAAAAAUUGAAUAUUUCAUGUCCUUGUCUUAACAGGUCGUGUUCGGGUCUUAACAGGUCGUGUUUGUGUCUUAAACAGGUCAUAUGAUAUGUUGGCAACAUUUUCGUGUCUUAACAGGUUUCGUGUUCGUGUCUUAUCGUGUUCGUGUCUUAACAGAUCGGGUUGACCCGAUAUGCCAGCCCUAAGAGGAACAUAUAAUAAGAGCCAAAACCGGAUCACAACAGUGGAUUCAUCAUAAGCAUCUGUUUGCAUUAGACUUUCCCCUUGACAGUGGUUAUCUGACAACUGACAAACUUCAAAGCACUGCCCAAAAGAACAAUUGUUACUAAAGUACUGAUGAAGAUUAAAGACUGAAGCUCAAUCUACUGAUGGAAUCCAAGCACUGUUGAAGAACUGAAGUACUGCCCAUUCAAGGUCUGAUCACCCUUUGAAGAAAGCACUGAUGCUCAACAUCAGUGGUUGACUACAACAGUGGAAUGCAGAAUCAGUGUUUAUACAUCAGUGUUUAGAAUGUAAUCAAUGUCUGUAUGAUCAGUUGUUAUAGAUCAGUAGAUAGAGUUUGUUAGGUUGUUAGAUGUCACUUUCAUGGUGACGUCAGCUUAGAUGUUUCAGUGGUUUGGUUUGCCUAUAAAUGUAACAGUACUCUGCACUGUUACAUUUGAUUGACUGAGUAGGUUCUUCUCCUCAUGUCUAAUCCUUUCAUCUUGUGCUAUCAACCUUGGAGUAUCAAGUUGAGGGGGAGUUUAGCUUGUAAGCAUGUUUUGUAAUCUUUCGAUUUGCUUUUUAACCUUUUGACUGAUGGAAAUCAUUUGUUUAUCAAACUAUUUUCCUCUUUGAUUGUGUUUAUAAAGUUUGUGUUCAUUUCC